GCGAGUCGCUCGCUGCCCCCGGGUGCGGGCGCGCAGGACCAGCAGCUGCCCCCAGCCACGGGCGCGCCACCUGUUUCCGCCUGGGACUUCCCCCAGCCGGCUCCGAAGUGUGGAGUCAGCAGCUUGGCCUGGCCCGGCAUCAGGGGCCCAGCGCAGCCCUACCCCACCGCCGCCUCCCGUGAGGCCCCGCCUGGAAGAGGCGUGGACUGCACCCUGGUGCGCGCGUUCUGGGCUUGGCCUUGAAAAUCAGGAUGGCGAUGACCGCUGAGCAGUGAAACCUUUGGGAAACCUCAACCAUCUGGAAGUCAGAAACUCAUUUGGGGCUGGCUGCGGCUUCUAGAACAUCCAGGUGUUCUGCAGAUGCAAGAGUUUAUCCCACAGUCACCAGAUCGAGUCCCAGACAGCUGCAAGGCUUGUGAUGUGGCCUGAACAGCCUUAAAUACAGAGGGGUCACUUGUUGAGUGGCCAGAAAGUGGUCAUUGAUACUAUACUAACCGUGAAAACCAGCUGGUUGUCUUGUUAAGCUUCAGUGGGGAAACAUUUCCCAUAGAAGGACAAACCAAGUUA
This 567-nucleotide long non-coding RNA is filed under the name Heterocephalus glaber (naked mole-rat). RNAcentral's name for it is "lncRNA (ENSHGLG00000048101.1)". The record is from RNAcentral. Lineage: Eukaryota; Metazoa; Chordata; Mammalia; Rodentia; Bathyergidae.